AAAAACAACAGAUAUAUUGCUUAUCAUAUGUAUAUAUGUGUCUCAUCGCUGCAUAUUAACUUCAUGCAUGUAUGUAUAAUAUAAGCCAUCCCCAUAAAACCCCCUAAAUCAAUUAACUUUACAUAAAUAUAAAUUAGGUUGUUUUCUCUCAUAUUGUACUCUUGUAUGAGUGAAGAGAAAAACAACUUGUAACCUUCUCAAGGAGAGAAGGAUAUUAAUGAGUUCAAUAUGAUACAUGAAUAAAAGUCCUUCUAUCUCAAAACUGACAUAACCAGAAACUAAAUGUUACAUGACAAUGAUUGCACACAUAUGAAACAUAAAUUAGUCAACAGCUUCAGUUGAAAUGCCAUGUAAGAACAAAUACAUGAAGUAUAAAGCAUUGUCUGUAUAGAUAGCAGUCAGUGGUAUACAUAUCAUUUUAUUUGACUGGGCAUAAACACACAAAUCCAUGCAUUGAUCAAAUCAGAUCAUUAUAUUAAACUGUCAUUUAUACUUUGGUUUUGUUUGCUGCCCAUGUAAAUAUUUUUAAACAAUGGGCCUGGUCUUUGUACAUGUACAUAUAGCAUGUAUAUACAUGUUUGCUACAUUCUCUUGAACUAAAAUAAAACCACAAUUGGACAAUUAAAUGACCAUCCUGAUAAUUUCAAUAUAACAUGAUAGACUAUACUCCAAAAUUAGUUUUUAACACAUUUUUUUUGCACACUCUGAUAAGAUAUCAAUUUAAUUUGCUGUAAAUAACAAGACGACCACAAAAUGAAAGAUCAAUUAAAAAUAAUAUAUAUUCAUAUAUAAUAUCUUUGCAAUAUAUUCUCUCAGUUGUAGACAGAAAGACCGUCCUUGGAAUAGUAUGUCGAAAACUCCACUGUUCUCUCUAUGGUUUCAUAUUAGGAUGAAAUUCUAUUAAUCUGCAUAUCACAUCCAGAUAUACGGGACACAGACAAUUUUUUCUCACAAGGCAAAGGCAAUUUAUAGCAAAUGAAAAAAAAAGGUAAUAUAUUACUGGAAACAUAUUAUCAUGAUGCAAUUUUUCCUUUCAUGUUGUAAUUUGAAGCAUUUGGGGAAAAGUUAUGGGUAGGACUUACCUAUUGAACUAUACUAAUGAAUGAUUAUAAAACAAGCAA
Molecule: long non-coding RNA, 1121 nt
Organism: Lytechinus variegatus (green sea urchin)
Lineage: Eukaryota; Metazoa; Echinodermata; Echinoidea; Temnopleuroida; Toxopneustidae
Exons: 2
Source: RefSeq, a predicted model, not a curated record